UGCAGAAUAGUGUAAGGAGCACGUAAGCCUUUGAAGCUAACAGAUUGGGUUCAAUUCCUAAUUCUACAA
Molecule: transfer RNA, 69 nt
Filed under: Hemipodia simplex
Lineage: Eukaryota; Metazoa; Annelida; Polychaeta; Phyllodocida; Glyceridae
Description: tRNA-Gln
Rfam family: tRNA
About the family: Transfer RNA (tRNA) molecules are approximately 80 nucleotides in length.
Source: RNAcentral